This 218-nucleotide ribosomal RNA is filed under the name Pycnococcus provasolii. RNAcentral's name for it is "partial Bacterial small subunit ribosomal RNA". It matches the Rfam family "Bacterial small subunit ribosomal RNA", at positions 1042 to 1260 of the family's 1533-position model. Lineage: Eukaryota; Viridiplantae; Chlorophyta; Pseudoscourfieldiophyceae; Pseudoscourfieldiales; Pycnococcaceae. The record is from RNAcentral.
UGCAUGGCUGUCGUCAGCUCGUGUCGUGAGAUGUUGGGUUAAGUCCCGUAACGAGCGCAACCCCUAUCCCUAGUUGCUAGCAGUUCGGCUGAGAACUCUAGGGAGACUGCCGGUGACAAACCGGAGGAAGGUGGGGAUGACGUCAGGUCAUCAUGGCCCUUACGGCCAGGGCUACACACGUGCUACAAUGGUGCGCACAGAGGGCUGCAAACCCGCGA